RNAcentral lists this ribosomal RNA (172 nucleotides) under uncultured Methanomicrobiales archaeon. RNAcentral's name for it is "partial 16S ribosomal RNA". It matches the Rfam family "Archaeal small subunit ribosomal RNA", at positions 1165 to 1338 of the family's 1478-position model. Lineage: Archaea; Methanobacteriati; Methanobacteriota; Methanomicrobia; Methanomicrobiales. The record is from RNAcentral.
CUGGGCUACACGCGGGCUACAAUGGGUGGGACAAUGGGUAUCGACACCGAAAGGUGAAGGCAAUCUCCUAAACCCAUCCGUAGUUCGGAUUGUGGCUGCAACUCGCCCACAUGAAGCUGGAAUCUGUAGUAAUCGUGUCUCAAAUGGCACGGUGAAUAUGUCCCUGCUCCUU